UUAAGAAGCUGCUAGAAUCAAUUAGGGCAGGCUGGCUAAUCAGGGCACCUGAGUUUAAAAAGGACCUCACUUCAGUUUGUGGAAUGUGUAUGUGAGGAGCCGGGACCAAGAAGCACUAAGAGCUGGGAGUGAGAAGGUAUACUGCUGGAGGACUGAGAAGUACAAGCAUCAUCAGACACCAGGAGGAAGGUCCUGUGGAGCCAGGAAAGGCAGGUCCAGGAGCAAAGCCAAAGGUCAGAGCCAGCAGUCAGAAACCAAAGCUGAAGUCAAGAGGUUGUGUCAAGGAUGUGGUGGAGCACAGAUCCGCCCUAUCAAUUCUCAGCUGGCACUUGGUCCCCUAUGGAAUCUAUGCCAAUGAAGCACCGGAGAACAGCCCCAGGCUCUCUAGUUUAUCCCUGUGCCAAAGCAGCUGCAAGCUUCAGAAUCAGAACAGGCUCCCUGAUGUCCUCCUCCCAUCUUCUUGUGCCAGUCAGAACUCCGUACAGAAGAGCAUCUAGCUCAUGGCUUUUGAGGAAAAACCACGGAAGAGACCACUUGAAGCAAAAGAAUGAACAGAUCGCCUUCAGUGUGUGAUUAUUUGUCCAAGAGGAAGUAUAUUUGGUGACACCAUGAUAAAGGCUUCAGACUGUGGUGGAUGGAAUGAAGCUGAGAUGAUAUUGAUACUUUACCACAGUCACUCUGUAGCUCUGUGCAAUAGAUUGUUUAUGAAACUUGCAGUAAAGAACAUAAACAAAAAUAUUUUCCUUGGAGGGAUUGGGGUGGCAAUUGGAUUUCUUAGAUUGUAUUCUCUUACGGACAGGGACUGUAUUUUUAUAAUGUGUGGUUGUAGCAGGGUGGUCACCCACUUCUGCCUUAAAAGGCUUAAAAUAGCCUGGGGAGAGGGCUGUGGCAGGGAAGGAAAAGCGGGGAUGACUGGGAGAAGCAGCUUGAGCUGGAGGCCACGCCCCAAUCAGGCAGUGGCUGGCUUAAUGAGGGCUCAGCUGGCCCUUAUAAGAGGGCAGUGGGCCAGGAGCAGACAUUCUCUCUGUCUGUCUGUGUGCCU
Molecule: long non-coding RNA, 1042 nt
Organism: Dermochelys coriacea (leatherback sea turtle)
Lineage: Eukaryota; Metazoa; Chordata; Testudines; Dermochelyidae
Exons: 3
Source: RefSeq, a predicted model, not a curated record